AUUGCUUCGCAUGGUACUGUUGGGAGAAGGGUUCGCUGGAGUCAAGAAAUUACUUAAUAUGAGUUAUGCAUCUUGCUCAACUUUAUUAGUUUCUAACACUACUUAUAUAGACUCGAUACACAUGCAUAUUCCCAAAGCAAAAAUAUAACUGGUUAUUAGCCUCUAAGCACGUGCUGUUCUCACACCCCUAAUUAUCAUGACUAAAAUAAGCAUUCUAUCCAUGUAGCUAUUUGCGUUGCUAUGUUUCAGCCUUGCUGUUUGCUACUCCCUAUAUUCCCAUUCUGCUCCCUAUCUCUCUUGGCCUUGCACCUCCCUUCCCAACAGCUGCAGCUUGUUACAGCCACUGCCUGUUGGCACAACAUAAUUACUUGGUCUCAGGAUUCAAGAAUAGCUCAAGGCUACCUUUCUUGUUAACUUCAGCACAAUUCUGAUUACAGGCCUAUUCUAAUACCAGGCCUGGAUUGUGCAGAUCUUUAGGGAUUCUAUGGCCACGCUUCUGCAGCCAUUCUUCUACAAUUCCCCCUUUUUUGUUUUGCACAAGCCAGGCCUGAUUGGUUAUGUUAAAAACUGCUCUCUUUAAACAAGAAAAAGUACAGCUAAAAACUAAAAACAUUAAAAUAAUGAUUAUAACAAAGCGUAUCCCUUCCAUCAAUAACGUCUUUAAACAACCUGUUAUCCCCAAUCCUCUCAACCAUUCAUCAAAGGGAUUAUCAUCAGCAAGAAUAUACUUCAUGUUUCCCUGCAGUUGUGACAACUUCUUGUGGAUAGAUAUGGAAUGAUCGGGAAGGUUCACACAACACAUCCCUUCAAAUUCCUCACAACCGUGUCCAUGUGCUAAUAACAAAAAAUCUACUGCUGCUCUAUUUUGUAACGUAGCAUGCCUAAAACUAUCUAUAUCAAGCAAGAACGAACUUAAAAUCUGCGAUGUAAGAUUAAAUUGUUUCUCUCCCCAGCACACUAACCUUCGUAUAUUCUUAGCAUUUAAUGCAGUCAUAGCUCCUGGCAUAAAUAUGGAGGCUAAGACAUUUGCUGUUACAGACUGCAGAUUGACUCGGUCAUUACAUGUUUCAUCAAAGGUGCGCAGUGCCCUCCGUGAUCUAUGAAAUUGUGGAGUCAUUUUCAAUAAGUCUUUCAUACAUGGAGCAAAGUCAAACACCCUAAAUAGCAUGGCCCACCAACAGGAUGCAUAGGUAUUCCUAGCCACGCUCUGUCCCCACAUAUCAAAAAGACUCCCGGUGGCAACUGAUAACCCCCUGAUACAUUUACAUGGAAACCCCCAGUUUUCAAUUCACCCCAAAUAGGUGAACCGGUUAGAUUUUGAAACCCUGUAUAAAACCCCCAUUCACCUUGAUGUGUUAGCCAUAACUGCCACGGGUCACCAAACCAAAUUACUCCAGUGCCAUUCACAGGUUGAAGUGGUAAUGACAUGUGGGUACAGACUGCCAUACCAGUUGCAGUAACAUUAACAUAUUCAACAGGUACAACGCUAGCCAAUAGGUCUAACUCCUGCAAAGGUAAAUGAUGUGCCUGGUUUAAAUUCUCAAUAAUCGUUAUCUGCCACACUGCAUUACGCAUAGAAGGCCAAACAAAUUGCCCAUUUGGACUCACACAUGUACCAUUCUGAUUGGAAGUCAGAUCCAUUGUUUUAACAUUCCAAAAACCAUCAAAAUCUGUUUCAUUCUCUUGCAGGGGAAUACCAAUUAGACAAGUUCUAAACGGGUUGUCAGCUUUUUGCAGACUCAAACAAAAGUCUGUUACCCCUGUAAUAUUUGCCCAUGUCACCCAUAUGUUUGUCCUAGGCAAGAUGUCAAAAAUACUUUGGCCAAUGGGUAAAAAAAUUCAUCAAGACCGUAAACCAAGUCCACCACUCAAACAUGUUUAGUCCUACAAUUUCCACCUUUUUUUUUUUUUUUUUUUUUUUUACAUUCCACCCCACAAAUCUGUGCUUUCACAGAUUCUGAUGAUGUAUACUGUCUCCAAUCAGCAUGGUAUUACACUAGUCGUAUGCUUUCUCUUGCUUCAUGCCCGGUUACUAAUCAAACACAUACAUUCUUUUCACUGUUUGCAUUUAAGCUUUGGCUUACAGAACCAUUUUACCCCACAUAGCAUACAUUGGCACAAUACCCACGGGUUACAUCCCUUGCAACACAGACAGUUCAUUCCAUCUGCUCGCUCUGAGUCUUCUCUUCCGUCUUCUGAUCUUGACAUACAGGUCGCACAAACUUGCUAGGGACCCAUAUAGGUCCUUUAUCUGUGGAGAUACAAAAAUAACCUCUACCUAUAAAUAACACCAGAUUAGGUCCUUCCCAUACACCUGAAGCCAUAUUUUUAUACAGAACAUUCAAACCAGGAACUGUAGUUGUUUGGUUCCCUCGCGCUGUUUGGUGAUGUAUAACAACAGGUGGUCCCUCUCUACCCUCCAUAAGGGAGAGAUAGUUUAAGGUAAACAACACCUUAGUCAACCGUUUAGUUACAUCUAUGUCCUGCGAUACUUUCUGUCUGUGAAGAUAAUCCUUCAGGGUACAGUUUGCACCUUCAACAACUUCUUUCAGUUCUAAGGUUUUAAGGUUUUCCCGUGGUUCACCGGUGAUCACUUGUUUCUGCCACUGAUUAUUGGAUUGCCAAACACACGCAGCCUUCUUCAUCUUUCGUCCUGCAUCUGUAAACACCCUUGGCCCGUCAACUGGUCUUUUUGAGCAUAACGGUCUCGCAAUCCACUGGUAAUGUCCUAACAUCUUCCAGAGAGGGCAUUUGGCCGGUUGUUGUGUACAACACCUGUAUAACCCAUCAAGGCUUCCUGUAUGGCUGCUGAAUGUCUCAGAUGCCACUCAUAAUCAUCACCACGGACUGGAAUACUGAUAUCUGCCGGUUCAGUCCCAUCAUUUUCAACAAUCCUGUCUCUUCCUUUUCUCACCAAGGCCGCUACUGUUUCAGGGCGACUUAAAAUACGAUGACUGCGUUGCAAUGGCAAAAACAACCACCCUAAAACGAUCGCCGUAUUUCCCCCUUUAUUCUUUUGCCAUUGCAAAAUAAGGGCAAAAGGUGAAGUGGCAACAUUACAAACCAAAAAGAUAACGGAUGAUUUGCCAUUCGGUGACCACACCAGCCAGUCUGAAUCUUGCGGGACACAACUUCUAGGGCAGCCCGCUGUUCUGGUUGAACAAGUUUGAGGACUUUUGGCUUCGGUGCCAUGCAACCAGGAUCGGAACGGUUGCAAAUCAUCGUUAGUGAGUCUCUUUGUGUGUCAUCAGGGUGUAAGGGAAUCGUGAAAAAAAACAGUCUUUCAUGUCUAUCACAACAAUUUGCCAAUUCUGAGGGAUCUUCAUAAAAGGCGGAAGAGCAGGUUGCAACACUCCCAUCGCUAAAAUCUGAUCAUUAACCUUCCAUAAAUCAUGCCCCAAUUAUGUGCAUCCAGAUUAUUAAUCAGUACUGGACAAGCUAACGAGCUGGUCACCUGCCAAUCACCCUCCAAAACAGCAUCACGAUAACACCACACCAAGGCUGUAGAAUUGGAUCUUUUCUCAAGUUCAGCAUCGGUGGGGUAGUUGGGCUAACUGGAGGAAUUACAGGUACUGAAGUAGUAGACAAGUUCAUUUUAACUCGCUUUUCCAGGUUUCUUAAUCUAUCUAUUAGCUCCUGUAAGGAUUUCUCUGUAUUGUUAUCACAAGUUUCUCCCCGCCUUCCUCCUCAAACCCGUCCGAUGACGUUUCAGGACGAGGAGGUUACGUCAUCGGACGGCGCUUUUGCCCACCCUGACGUGAUUGGUGCAGCAGGACUCGCUGCCCCGCCCUCCUGGUGAGGCUCAGGUGCCUCUUCCGGUUUCGGUUCAGUUACCGCAGGCUCCUGAGGAGUAACUUUCGGUUUGUCCGCUAUCUUAUCUAAAAGCCCCGGCACUAUUGAACACGUAGGGGCGGACAUACCCUUCCUAGUACGAGUAUGCCCAACUCCGAAAAGUGUAGCUAAGAGAGAAGGCUUAGGUGAAUCACCCUUCUGCUCCACCGGCUUUUCUACCACAUCUCCCUCCAACGCUGCCUGUGGAGGACCUCAUGUCAGAGCAGGUGGAUAUUCCCUGAAGGAAACUGCAGCCUGAGGACAGGCCAUGUUUGAGCAGGCUCUUAUGACAGGAUCUGCAGCCUGUGGAGAGGGGCCCACAGAGGAGCAAGUUCCCCAGCCUGUGGAGGACCCAUGGUGGAGCAGGCUUAUACCGAAGGACUGCAGCCUGUGGAGACGACCGACACUGGAGCAGUGGAAAAGUGUGAGGAGGAAGGAGUGGCAGAGAGGAACUGUUACAGAUUAUAUUAUGGAUCCUGCCAUCUAUGUCUUGGGGUCUGCAGCGGGUCUACAGACAAGUUAGUUGACUUCAAAGACUUAGCCGUGUACCUUUAAAACAGCCACAAAUUGUCAGGUAUGUAAACAGGAUGUGGAGAACCGGAACUUAGAACCGCAGCAUACGGGCACCUACAGCAACAGCAAAUAGCAAGCAAGAAGAAGGACACAAAAACCUAUCAGGGUCUAACACUUGUACUGUCUAAGAUAUAUAAACAGUUUGUAUAAACAAUAAAGGCCAUUUUGUCCGAACCCA
Molecule: long non-coding RNA, 4582 nt
Organism: Falco peregrinus (peregrine falcon)
Lineage: Eukaryota; Metazoa; Chordata; Aves; Falconiformes; Falconidae
Exons: 3
Source: RefSeq, a predicted model, not a curated record